RNAcentral lists this ribosomal RNA (523 nucleotides) under Pestalotiopsis microspora. RNAcentral describes it as "eukaryotic LSU rRNA". The stretch from base 146 to 299 matches the Rfam family "5.8S ribosomal RNA". Lineage: Eukaryota; Fungi; Ascomycota; Sordariomycetes; Amphisphaeriales; Sporocadaceae. The record is from RNAcentral.
GUGGCGUUGUAGAUUCUAACUCCACCCAUGUGACUUACCUUUUGUUGCCUCGGCAGAAGUUAUAGGAUCUCUUAUAGCUGCUGCCGGUGGACCAUUAAACUCUUGUUAUUUUAUGUAAUCUGAGCGUCUUAUUUUAAUAAGUCAAAACUUUCAACAACGGAUCUCUUGGUUCUGGCAUCGAUGAAGAACGCAGCGAAAUGCGAUAAGUAAUGUGAAUUGCAGAAUUCAGUGAAUCAUCGAAUCUUUGAACGCACAUUGCGCCCAUUAGUAUUCUAGUGGGCAUGCCUGUUCGAGCGUCAUUUCAACCCUUAAGCCUAGCUUAGUGUUGGGAAUCUACUUCUCUUAGGAGUUGUAGUUCCUGAAAUACAACGGCGGAUUUGUAGUAUCCUCUGAGCGUAGUAAUCUUUUUCUCGCUUUUGUUAGGUGCUAUAACUCCCAGCCGCUAAACCCCCAAUUUUUUGUGGUUGACCUCGGAUCAGGUAGGAAUACCCGCUGAACUUAAGCAUAUCAAUAAGCGGAGGAA